Molecule: ribosomal RNA, 261 nt
Filed under: uncultured bacterium
Lineage: Bacteria
Description: partial 16S ribosomal RNA
Rfam family: Bacterial small subunit ribosomal RNA
Source: RNAcentral
AGUGGCGGACGGGUGAGUAACGCGUGGGUAACCUGCCUUGUACAGGGGGAUAACAGUUGGAAACGACUGCUAAUACCGCAUAAGCGCACAGUACCGCAUGGUACAGUGUGAAAAACUCCGGUGGUACGAGAUGGACCCGCGUCUGAUUAGCUUGUUGGUGGGGUAACGGCCUACUAAGGCAACGAUCAGUAGCCGACUUGAGAGAGUGAUCGGCCACAUUGGGACUGAGACACGGCCCAAACUCCUACGGGAGGCAGCAUG